GAUGAACGCUGGCGGCGUGCUUAACACAUGCAAGUCGAGCGAACGGACGAGAAGCUUGUUCCUCUGAUGUUAGCGGCGGACGGGUGAGUAAUAAGUGGAUAACCUACCUAUAUGAUUGGGAUAACUUCGGCAAACCGGAGUUAAUACUGGAUAAUAUUUUGAACCGCUUGGUUCAAAAGUGAGAGACGGUCUUGCUGUCACUUAUAGAUGGAUUCGCGCUGCAUUAGCUAGUUGGUAAGGUAACGGCUUACCAAGGCAACGAUGCAUAGCCGACCUGAGAGGGUGAACGGCCACACUGGGACUGAGACACGGUCCAGACUCCUACGGGAGGCAGCGGUAGGGAAUCUUCCGCAAUGGGCGAAAGCCUGACGGAGCAGCGCCGCGUGAGUGAUGAAGGUCUUCGGAUCGUAAAACUCUGUUACUAGGGAAGAACAUAUGUGGAAGUAACUGUGCACAUCUUGACGGUACCGGGUCAGAAAGCCCCGGCUAACUACGUG
This 497-nucleotide ribosomal RNA is filed under the name uncultured bacterium. Its description in RNAcentral is "partial 16S ribosomal RNA". It matches the Rfam family "Bacterial small subunit ribosomal RNA", at positions 28 to 507 of the family's 1533-position model. The record is from RNAcentral.